Molecule: RNA transcript, 5476 nt
Organism: Aquila chrysaetos chrysaetos
Lineage: Eukaryota; Metazoa; Chordata; Aves; Accipitriformes; Accipitridae
Gene name: atherin-like
Exons: 2
Source: RefSeq, a predicted model, not a curated record
GUUGUCAGAUGUUGAUGCUGUUUGCACUUUGUGGCCCGCGAACAGCAGCGUUUAGCCCAUGUGAGGUUGACUCACGGGGGCUGGCUAUUUGCCGGUGUUUGUCGAAGUCAUUCCUUGGACUUUCUAUCAAUCAGACAUUCCUUUCAAGAAAAUAUCGUUACUUGUUUUGGCAGCCUCCGGUCUUUGCUUUUAUAUCCUACCCAAUUCUUAGCUGUUCUCAGUAUUUAUCCAAGUAGUUGUGGCAUGUAGGUCCUUUCUACCUUCUUGUUUACAAACCUAAUUUAAACACAGUACUUGAGGAAACAGGCCAUGGUAGACAAAGACAAAGGAGUUUGAAAUAAGUUUUGUAAGCAGCACUCUGUUGUUACUGAGCAGUUUUCACAGAGAUUAAAUUCCACUUAAAUUAUUUUUUCCAGAAUUCACGGUGGGGAUUCACUCUGCUGGACCUAGCUCUACUGCACCCCCCUGGUCAUCUGUUAUCAACCCCCUUCGAUUUACCACAGUAGCAGUUUACAUAAAAGGUGGUGAAGAUUAGGAUUUUAGGUAAGCAUACAAAACAAAGAGAGAGCACUUAUCUGUUACUAUGUGCAGCAGUCAAGUUGUGUGUAGGUGUAGUGAAACAGCUUUUGGAACCAUAAAUGUAAUCUUGAUAGCACUUGCAUGGAAACAGUGCUAUUGUGUGUUAAUGACAAUGGUAUAACCGGCAUGAAGUGAAACUGGUGACUAAUUCAAAAAACAAACUUCCUGUCUGCACCAAAAGCCCUUUUGUAGAAAAAUGCAUUUUCUUCAUUGACCCAUGGCAUUAAAUCACAUUGCAGUAUUACCUCUGCUGGCAGUAGCGUUCAGAUACAGCAAAAAGUUAUAAUUUGGAGAGUUUUCACUUUUUAAUUUGUUUAAUUCUUCCAUCUCCUGACCAGAAGCAAAGAGCUUUGCUUGACAGUCUUCUGUCAAAUGGCAGCAAGGAAUGAAUACUUUCAGCUGUGAUCUUAUCAUAUUUCGUAAGUGAGAUGGGACAUUUCCAGAAGUCCUAAAGAAGCAGAAAGUGGUGUUUGCAGGUCACCAGGUUAUGGUCUUUUCUUCCAUGUGAGGAAUCGCUUUAACAGUCUGCCUUUGGUCUCAGAUUGCUGGUGUAAAAUUGUGGUUGUAAGUAUUGGUAGUUAUUAAGAUCUGGGGAUUUUUCCCUAACUAAUAAUGAGAGAAACACAUUCUCGUUUAAAAAAAAAUGAGAGUACAUCUAUGGAAGGAAAUCUCCUAGAGAAAACCUGAGUUGUAUUCCAUUCCUUUUUCAUUGUCUCUAAUUCCCAUGAUAGGUGAAUCCAACAAACCAGUGAGUCCAUAGCCGUUAUGUAGAUGAUGUGGAACUGGUGUGAGGAAGGGGCCUGUAGAUGGGAGAGACAAGAGAACCUGUUUCCCCUGUGUACCAGAACAAGAGAAAUAAAAAUACUUAUUCCAUUCAUUAACAAGAAAAAGUGAUUUAAACAUAGUGAAAACAUAUGAAAGGUUUUAAUUUUUAGGGGUGUUUGUAGUUUUCAAUGGACAGCAUGGAAUUUCCCCCUAGAAUGUCAUUUAAUCAAAAUAUCUGUCUGUUGAACAGUGUUUUGUGGUACAAUUUGAUGAACCCUAACAGCAAGUAAGAAAUUAAUAGCUGAACCCUAAUAGCAAGUAAGAAAUUAAUAGCUGCUAGUGCGUGCUUGCUUCUAGUUCAAAUUAUUGUGAUGUGUCUGUCAAGGUAAACUCUUUCCAUUUCCUGACAUUAUUUCUCUUAACUAAAUUUUAAAAACAGUGCGGACAAUAUAUCCACCUCUGGAUUUGGAUGGAGCACCUGAUGGCUUUAUCAUCCCCAGCUGAAAAUAUCUACAUCCACAGUUUGCCCUGCAUCACGUGCUGUAUGACGGCUCCCUAGGCCACUUCAGUGCAGGGCAAGCCAGGUUAGCCCAAAAGCCCUUUGUCAGUUAAAGCUGAGAGAGCUGACUUUGCACCGAACCACAAGGAGGUUGUCCACAGCUUCCUUUUUUUGCCAGCUUUCUUGUAGCCUCUAGUGUAGAUUCAGUUGUAAGAGGAAUGGAGGAAGCUGAGCCUUAAAUCACAGUAGGUGUUUGCAAAGUGAAUAUAUUUAAACCUAAAGUCUCCUUUUUUGCCACUCGAUACUAUGUGCUGUGAACAUUUACAUCGACUACAAAAGAGAGAUGCCAAGUUAGGAACAUUGAUUGCAACAAACCAAGUUGAGUUAUGGAAAAACGUUACUUAUUCAACCUCCAGGAACGUCUGUAUAAAUUCACAUCUUACCUGACAGAUCUAUGCAGGUUUGCUGACUGACUCAUUGUUCCCUGUCCUGUGUUACCAUAUUUUAUCCUUUAGGCUUCUGAGCGAAACGGGUUAAUACCAAAGGAGACUUAAAAUAGCAUUUCUCUGAUGUCUUUUACAGCCAUUGCCAAGGUGCAGUUUGUGUCUCCAGGUUUAAAAAGGAUCACACAGCAAUUGAUGCACAGUCAAAGCUUUAAAACCAAAUAAACGUACGGAAUAACCAUCAAGGCAUUUUGCCUGCUUUUGAUUUUGUAUUCGUGGUAAGAGCUGUGCAAGAGAAAGUUGCCACACAAGCAUGUUUUGCUCGCUAUCUGAAUCUAUCCCCACAUGACUUUUUCAGGAAUUACGAUAUUACCAGACUUGCAGAAGCUCACAAAAAAUGCACCCAUUUCUAGGCACUUGGUCCAAACUCUUAAAAUAUUUACAGUGUGGCCCUCCAGGAAGCUGAGCAUCUCUAGGUCUCACGUAGGCAGGCAAGCCACGGAUCCCUCAGCCUCACCCUGAUUGAGUCCUUAAGACUGCAAGAGAGAAGAAAUUAAAAUAGACAAGAGGAACUGCCUGCUCAAUUGAGCUUUAUUUUGUAAUACACAGGCAGACUGCAAGGUCAGCAAAUCUCUGCAAGCUAUGUGGCCAUAUGGGCAAUGGCAGUUUAUGAAACAACUGUGCCAGAUUUGGCAGCCUUGAUGAUGGCCACAUGGCAGGUCAGUGAAAACCAUUUCAGUGCCAGUUGUAUAAUUUCACUCUUCAGUCAUCUGAGAAGAAUAUUUAAGAUGAGAUUUUAGAAAGGAUCAUGUCAUUUCAGCUCUGAAACUUACGCUGUUUUUAUAUGGCAUAUACGCUUCUGAUGUAACCAGCAGAGUUCUUUUGCUCCAUCUUGGGUAAUUGAAGACAAUCAAGUCUUCAAUAAAUAAAUAAAUAUUGAUUCUUAUUCUUUAUAUGUGUGUAGGCUUGUAUUUGAGUAUUUUGAAGUAAUUUGGGGGUAAACGUGUAACAAAGGAGAUAACGGUUUUCCGAGAGAAAACUAAGACCCAUGUUAGGCUCAGACUGAUGUAAGUUAUUUGCAGCCUCAAUAGCCUUCAAAUCUCUUGAAGUCCUCUACUUUAACAAAAUGCCAAGUUUUCUGAUUGUUUUAAAAGGGCUGCUGCUUAUAGCUUAGUUGUUUCUGGCUGGUCAAGGUUGGAGGGAUCGUUGUGGCUGGCCGCUGAUUGUGUCACCAGCCAAAAUACUGUUUCAUCUUUCAGGCCUUCAGCAGCUGGGCCAGAUUGACGUGAACAUGGGAGCAAACUGACUCUUGCAACACCUGGCCUCUGGAGAUAACCCCACCCAGCUUGACUCCAGGCCAAGUCACGGCACAAACAACCUCUGUUGUAUUGACAGAUGACCUCAUGAGAAUGAACAGAUAAGACAAAAUGAUGUUGAUACUACUUGAUCUGUAAGCCAUGUUCGAUAUUGUCAGCCAGGGCAGUCAGGAAUGCUGAUGUGACCACAAGCCCUUGGGGAAUUUGUUUGAUGCCUGGCUCUCAUCACGCCCCGCCAGGACACUGACUGCUGCCUUAGGGCUUCAUCCCCUGGCUGGCUCUUGGCCGGCAGGCUCCUUGCCGCAGCCGGGAAACCCACUGCUCAGAGUUUUCCAUAGGCCUUUUUGCAUACCACAGUCCGUAUCUGCAACAAUAAAUAUAAAAUACUAUCGCUCACUGAAUGUAGAUGUAUUUCUAUUUCAGUAUGCUUCGUUUUGUCAUAAGUAGUCCCAGUAAGAAGAUAACCCUAGGAGUACCAGUGGCACUUUGUCAGUGUGGCUGCCUCCAUUGGUGGCCCUGUACUGCUUGAAGUGCACCAGUAAAACACAUCCCAAAUUAGUCCCCUCACGUGAGAAAAAUAUACUGGAAAGACCAGAUGAAAAAUUACUUCAAACAUGAAUUGAUUCUGUCUGUAAUCCAUCACUUAACAAGGGUGAGGGACCUGCAGCAGGGUCACAGAGACGGAUCCCCCAGUUCUUUGCCAAGUGGAUUGUGACUUAUGUGGGAAUCAUGUCUGAAUGAAAGUAAUGUAGUACCAGGAGCUGAUCCACAGUAAAUAGGAAAAAAACACAAGUUACUUUAUUUACAAGAAGCAUAUUCCCCAGGACAGAAUUGAAUUCUACUUGUUUGUCCCACUUGCAAACAGCAAACAAGGUAUCUGGUCCUGGGUUCUAUUCCAACUAAUCCUACUAAUGCGUCUGUUCAUUUUGGCCAGUUCUUGAUUGCUCAGGAAGAGGUGAACUUGGAGGAUCUCUUAGUAUCAAUGAAACAGAUGUGGCAUUUUAACGCUGUUAGCAAAACAAAAUGUCAAGAUGGUCAGAGAGUUUCAGUUUUCGUCUGUACUUCAGGGUUUUUUGCUUGGUUUUACCCUACUAGUGAAGCCUGCAAGCUACUUCACCCUAUGAGCAGACUCUUUUUGUGUAAUGGUAAAGUAAAACUUAGAACUAGAUACACCGUUAAAGAUGGCGUACAAGGCACAAAUUUUUGUCAGUUAUCCAAUUUAUCAAAAUCGCUUAGAAUUCCAAUUCUGUUCUCCAGAGUGCUGACAACCAACUUGAUAACAUCGGCAAAUUUUGCAUUUGGACUUCUGGUGUUCAAGGCAUUAAUACAAACACAAACUGCGUUACAAACCUUUUGAUAUGUCUUCCAUCUUUAUGGCAGACUAUUGAUAACUACUCUGAAUACAAUACAAUAAUAUAUCAACAUUGUUUUCUUACUGGAAACAGGGGAUGUGGGAAAAGCUUUUCUGCAGUCAAAAAUACAUCAGAUCUCCUGGCUCCCACUUUUAAUGUAUAGCCACUUCUUCGGACAAAAAUGGAAACUAUGUACACUGUGGUUUGGUCAUGUCGGGAUUCACAAAAGAAGUUUCUUAACAGGUUAUUAUCUUCUAGAUGCUUUCACAGACUGUUUAAUGUAGUGUUCGGCCAGGUAUGCUGACACUGAGGUGACUGACGAAUGCAAAUACAUAAGUAAGAGUUGGUUUUGAUUUCAUUGUUAAAUAGUGCCUUGGUAUCUGUCUUUGUACAGUAAACAAUAUAUUUCAUAGUUUACAUCAGAUUGAAUCCUUCUGCAAAUGUAAACAAAUACAUUCGUGAGAACAGGAAAGUAAACUCUGUGGGACAUUCAUGGCUGCAGUGAUAAAUCAAUUAAAAAUA